AGCCAUGACCUUGUCCUUCCAGGCCGUGCGCAAAUCACCGAAUCUUUGGUAUCCGGCCUCCAGCUCGGAUAUGUUAUAAAUCAGCUGCAAAAAUGAAGCUGACCGUCAGAAGACCGAACUUAUUUCAAAUGAUAAUGAAAAUGAAAAGGAGGAAGACUUAUCCGGAUCAUAGUCGGAUAGAACGAGGACAGCAUGUCAGAGACACGCUGAUUCUUCAUAGCCUCAACGUCGGUCGGGAGGAUGAGCGCCUGGCAUAGCCUCCUGGCCAAGUCAUGGUUGGCCAGGGCCGAUGCUCCUUCG
Molecule: long non-coding RNA, 300 nt
Filed under: Elaeis guineensis (African oil palm)
Lineage: Eukaryota; Viridiplantae; Streptophyta; Magnoliopsida; Arecales; Arecaceae
Description: long non-coding RNA (EGUI_LNC033228)
Source: RNAcentral